This 491-nucleotide ribosomal RNA is filed under the name uncultured bacterium. RNAcentral describes it as "bacterial SSU rRNA". It matches the Rfam family "Bacterial small subunit ribosomal RNA", at positions 15 to 518 of the family's 1533-position model. The record is from RNAcentral.
GAUCCUGGCUCAGGAUGAACGCUGGCGGCGUGCUUAACACGAUGCAAGUCGAACGGAGUUAUUGAAAGCUUGCUUUGGAUAAACUAGUGGCGACGGGUGAGUAACGCGUGGGUAACCUGCCUUAUACCGGGGGAUAACGUUUGGAAACGAACGCUAAUACCGCAUAAGCGCACGGGCUCGCAUGAGUCUGUGUGAAAAACUCCGGUGGUAUAAGAUGGACCCGCGUCUGAUUAGAUAGUUCGGUGAGGUAACGGCCCACCAAGUCGACGAUCAGUAGCCGGCCUGAGAGGGUGAACGGCCACAUUGGGACUGAGACACGGCCCAAACUCCUACGGGAGGCAGCAGUGGGGAAUAUUGCACAAUGGGGGAAACCCUGAUGCAGCCGACGCCGCGUGAGUGAAGAAGUAUUUCGGUAUGUAAAGCUCUAUCAGCAGGGAAGAAAUGACGGUACCUGAGUAAGAAGCCCCGGCUAACUACGUGCCAGCAGCUGC